This 417-nucleotide long non-coding RNA is filed under the name Piliocolobus tephrosceles (Ugandan red Colobus). RNAcentral describes it as "lncRNA (ENSPTEG00000007342.1)". Lineage: Eukaryota; Metazoa; Chordata; Mammalia; Primates; Cercopithecidae. The record is from RNAcentral.
AUUGAUAAAUAAAACGAUAUAUCGGAGAUUUGCAUAGCAUAGUGAUAUAAAAAAAAAAAAAACAAUAUAUAAACAAUAUAUAAAUAAUAUAUAUAGUCAAAACGAGCUGGGAAAGAAAAAAUGAGUGUAGAAAAUAUAAACCCGAAUUUGAAGAAGCAUAUGCAAAGUAUCCUAAUAAGAAAAUCAGAUAUACCUCUUUACAACCGAAACAACAUCAUUGACAUAAUAACAGGAGUAUUAGAUAAAUACACCAAUACAAACACCAACGGCAUAAAUGUUGAAAAUGUUAUAAAAAAUAUAAAAGAGAUUUUAGAUAAAACGUUUGGUAGUGGUUGGAUAUGCUUAAUAGGUGAAUCAUUUUCUUUUAAUAUUUCAGCAAAGGUAUGAUGUUUUUUUUUUUUUUUUUUUUUUUUUUUG